This 828-nucleotide ribosomal RNA is filed under the name uncultured bacterium. Its description in RNAcentral is "bacterial SSU rRNA". It matches the Rfam family "Bacterial small subunit ribosomal RNA", at positions 62 to 887 of the family's 1533-position model. The record is from RNAcentral.
UCGACGGCAGCACGGGAGCAAUCCUGGUGGCGAGUGGCGAACGGGUGAGUAAUGUAUCGGAACGUACCUUUCAGUGGGGGAUAACGUAGCGAAAGUUACGCUAAUACCGCAUAUUCUGUGAGCAGGAAAGCAGGGGAUCGCAAGACCUUGCGCUGAUUGAGCGGCCGAUAUCUGAUUAGCUAGUUGGCGGGGUAAAAGCCCACCAAGGCAACGAUCAGUAGCUGGUCUGAGAGGACGACCAGCCACACUGGAACUGAGACACGGUCCAGACUCCUACGGGAGGCAGCAGUGGGGAAUUUUGGACAAUGGGCGCAAGCCUGAUCCAGCAAUGCCGCGUGAGUGAAGAAGGCCUUCGGGUUGUAAAGCUCUUUUGUCAGGGAAGAAACGGCAGUUUCUAAUACAGAUUGCUAAUGACGGUACCUGAAGAAUAAGCACCGGCUAACUACGUGCCAGCAGCCGCGGUAAUACGUAGGGUGCAAGCGUUAAUCGGAAUUACUGGGCGUAAAGCGUGCGCAGGCGGUUUUGUAAGUUUGCCGUGAAAUCCCCGGGCUCAACCUGGGAAUGGCGAUGAAGACUGCAAGGCUAGAAUCUGGCAGAGGGGGGUAGAAUUCCACGUGUAGCAGUGAAAUGCGUAGAGAUGUGGAGGAACACCGAUGGCGAAGGCAGCCCCCUGGGUCAAGAUUGACGCUCAUGCACGAAAGCGUGGGGAGCAAACAGGAUUAGAUACCCUGGUAGUCCACGCCCUAAACGAUGUCUACUAGUUGUCGGGUUUUAAUUAACUUGGUAACGCAGCUAACGCGUGAAGUAGACCGCCUGGGGAGUACGGUC